Molecule: ribosomal RNA, 1032 nt
Filed under: Mantoniella antarctica
Lineage: Eukaryota; Viridiplantae; Chlorophyta; Mamiellophyceae; Mamiellales; Mamiellaceae
Description: partial Bacterial large subunit ribosomal RNA
Rfam family: Bacterial large subunit ribosomal RNA
Source: RNAcentral
AUAACUGUCCUAAGGUAGCGAAAUUCCUUGUCGGGUAAGUUCCGACCCGCACGAAAGGUGUAACGAUCUGGAUACUGUCUCAGAGAGAGACUCGGUGAAAUAAAACUAUCUGUGAAGAUGCGGAUUACCUGCACACGGACAGAAAGACCCUAUGAAGCUUUACUGUAACCUGGAAUUGCUCUCAAGCUUAUCUUGCGCAGCUUAGGUGGGAGGCUAUGAACCUUUUCUUCUGGGAAAAGGGGAGCCGUCAGUGAGAUACCACUCUUGGUAAGCUAGAGCGCUCAGUCUUCACCGUCAUCCGGUAAGACGACAGUUUCAGGCGGGCAGUUUGACUGGGGCAGUCACCUCCCAAAAGGUAAUGGAGGUGUGCAAAGGUUCCCUCAGGCUGGACGGAAAUCAGCCAUAGAGUGUAAAAGCAAAAGGGAGCUUGACUGCGAGACUGACAUGUCAAGCAGAGACGAAAGUCGGCUUUAGUGAUCCGACGGUGCUGCGUGGAAAGGCCGUCGCUCAACGGAUAAAAGUUACUCUAGGAUAACAGGCUAAUCUCCCCCAAGAGUUCACAUCGACGGGGAGGUUUGGCACCUCGAUGUCGGCUCAUCGCAUCCUGGAGCGGAAGUACGUUCCAAGGGUUGGGCUGUUCGCCCAUAGAAAGCGGUACGUGAGCUGGGUUCAGAACGUCGUGAGACAGUUUGGUCCAUAUCCUGUGUAGGCGUUUAGAGCAUUGAAAGGAUCUCCCCUUUGUACGAGAGGACCAGGUGGGGACAGACCGCUAGUGUACCAGUUAUCCCGCCAGGGGUAAACGCUGGGUAGCUAUGUCUGGAGCAAAUAACUGCUGAAAGCAUAUAAGUAGGAAGUUCACCUUAAGAUGAGUGCUCUUUUGUCUCAACCGUCCAUCCUUUAAUGCGUAAGCAUUGCGAUGACAAAUGAAAGACAAGGAAGGUCACGGCAAGACGAGCCGUUUGAUAGGCAUGAUGUAGAAGUGCAGUAAUGCAUUCUGAAGCUGACAUGUCCUAAUAGACCGAGGGAUUUGAU